RNAcentral lists this ribosomal RNA (290 nucleotides) under uncultured fungus. RNAcentral's name for it is "partial 18S ribosomal RNA". It matches the Rfam family "Eukaryotic small subunit ribosomal RNA", at positions 1524 to 1821 of the family's 1831-position model. Lineage: Eukaryota; Fungi. The record is from RNAcentral.
UUUCCAGCUCCGCGAGGCAGCUGGUAAUCAGCAAUAUGCGUCGUGAUGGGGAUAGAUCUUUGGAAUUAUAGAUCUUGAACGAGGAAUUCCUAGUAAGCGCAAGUCAUUAGCUUGCGCUGAUUAAGUCCCUGCCCUUUGUACACACCGCCCGUCGCUCCUACCGAUUUCGAGUGAUCCGGUGAACCUUUUGGACCGCGUGGGGUCUCGUACUUCAUGUGGAAAAUCAAGUAAACCAUAUCACUUAGAGGAAGGAGAAGUCGUAACAAGGUUUCCGUAGGUGAACCUGCGGA